UCCCCAGGUACUCGUGAGUCCUUCCCUCCCAGACCCAGGGCACUUGGAAACCCAACCACUGUGAGCUGUGCCCUAUGGCAGCCCUUCACUGCUGUGUCUCCUGCAGGGGAUCUCCUGGCUCCUGCUCUCCAAAUCAACUCAACUUCUGCUCAUCCGGGUACCAGAGUUGUGCUCCAGUGUAUUCUCCCUAUGGUGUCACCUGUAAUACGAUUCAUCUUCUGCAAGGAUGGGAAGGAGCUGUACAGCCAGAAAGCCCAUCAAAGGCAGCUGAGCUACUCCGUGGUCCUGAACAUCCCAUCAAAAAUCACAGGAAUACAUGUAUUUACAUGUGGAUACCAGGCGUUAAAUGAGAAGAAACAUAUGAGGAGCUCUGCCCUCAGUGCUGGCCAAAUCCUGGAUGUCCCUGGCAGAGUGACCGCCUCCACAACAUGGCCAUCAUUGCCAGGUGCAGCUGCUGGCGUGACCACCCAGGACAUCAGCAGCUCCCCAGGCAAUGUGGUGAGUUCCCCAGCAAAUCCAUCAUCCCCAGCCCCAUAUGCCUUGAUCCCGCACGCCCUCCCCAAAACCAUGGCGCUGGCAGUGGCGGCCGUCAGCCUCGUCCUCCUGGCUGCAGGCAGCUGGUUUGCCAUCAGGAAAGGUGCGUGCAGAGGGAGAUGCCCAAGGCAGCAGCACGUUGACAGCCCACAGAUUGAAACCACAGACCAUGAUGAAGUCACAUACUCCACCAUCGCCCAUGUUCGACGAGACAGGGUGAGUCGUGGCACAGCUGUGCACAGCUCCUUUCUGCACUCCUGCAGCCUGGUGCACGCACAUUGUGCAGGGCUCACAGUCACACCUGAAGUAACAGGGUUUCUUUUCUCCCUAAAGCCUCGUCCUGUGCAGCACAUGAGCGACACCACGACGUAUGCCACGGUGAUCUGCACCCAGACCUGAUAGAGCUGCCACAGGGCAAGGGCACAGGAGCCUUGUCCACAGCUGCCUUUGCUCUCCUGUAGAGUUCUUGUGCAGUCAUAUCAUGGGGCUGAGGGUUCCACUUUGGGCUUCUCUGGGGUUUUCUGUCACAGGGAAGGGCUGUGUGUGUCUAGCCAAGAGGAUGAAGGACUCAUAUGUCUUUUAUUAAUAAAUUAAUACCUCUAAAAUAUAUCA
RNAcentral lists this long non-coding RNA (1146 nucleotides) under Anas platyrhynchos platyrhynchos (common mallard). RNAcentral describes it as "lncRNA (ENSAPLG00000019712.1)". Lineage: Eukaryota; Metazoa; Chordata; Aves; Anseriformes; Anatidae. The record is from RNAcentral.